This 1107-nucleotide long non-coding RNA is filed under the name Physcomitrium patens. Its description in RNAcentral is "long non-coding RNA (PPAT_LNC009423)". Lineage: Eukaryota; Viridiplantae; Streptophyta; Bryopsida; Funariales; Funariaceae. The record is from RNAcentral.
AUUAAAAACUGGGGAAAUCGAGCCCAAUUUGCCCAAACUACCAGUUCUAACGUGAUCAAAAGUGCCAGCCCAAAAUUGGUAGCAAGCUUAAUACUCAUUCAUUGCCAAAUUGUAGGAUCGAUUUUGUCUAAUUUUUGCCUGUUGGGCCAGGCCCUGAAGUUUUAUGGUUAGAGUUCAACAUAGUGUGCCCACAUCAAUGUUCACUCUUUGUGGAAAUAAAUCUAAGCAUUUGAAGUUGGGUAGCUUUGAAGAAGUUAAAAAAUCAUGAGUUCAUAUGAUGGUUCUCUUUUUAUAACUUGUGCAGGAGAAAAGUUAUUCAAGCAUUGUCUUACAAAGUGUUUUCACUACUUCAAUUUUAAUUUGUUGUGUGACAUGAGGUUUCUCUUGCCCUACAAAAGGUUGUGGAAAUAUGAUGUAAUUUCAAGUAGUAUUGUAAAUAGUAUGCUUGUGUAAUCAAAAGAUACCUCCUAGUGGUGCUAAUACAGCAUGAAGAUUCUUCAAUUUAGGCUUGAUCUUUUUUAAAAUAUAACAAAUUUCGAAUAAUUGGUAUUUUGAAAAUCUUAUUGACUGCAUGAUUAUUUGAAAAAUCAAGUUUAUAAUUCAUGGUUAAUGAUAUCUUUUUCUUGCUGAGGAUGGGUCACAAAAACAAUUAAGUCACUUCAUUCAUGUCUCAGGGUGAAAUAUUUAAUCAAAUAAAUGAAAACAGCAAACUAGAAACUUUAAAGAAUCAUAAUCUAAUUGUAGCAAUCAGCUCUAUUUUCAUAUAGAUAUAUAUUUUACACUAAAGACAUCACACUGAUACAAACAUUUUGUAUCACACUUGUAUUUACAAGUCUACAAUAAUAUUAAGUUAUAAAUAAUUGUGUAAUUUAUAUGUUACUUACAGUGUAUUUAACUUUAAAAUUUGAAUGUUUCACCAAAUAUGUACAAACAUUUAACUUAUCUAUGAAAUGUACACACACAUAUAUAAUUUGAUACAAUGUGAUUAGUGUUGUAAUGGUGUCAUUCAAAACAAUUUAAAUUUUGAAGAUGUGUAGCAUGUGUAUAAUUUGUGCAUUGUAUGGGCGUUAGUCUGAUCAUUUCCACAAGAAAAGACAAAGAAAAGGA